Molecule: unclassified non-coding RNA, 845 nt
Filed under: Hevea brasiliensis (rubber tree)
Lineage: Eukaryota; Viridiplantae; Streptophyta; Magnoliopsida; Malpighiales; Euphorbiaceae
Source: RNAcentral
AAAAUAGUGAAAUACAAGUAUAAUAGGAUGCCCCAACAUUUUUUGAUAAAUAAAAAGCACUAAUUCACUGCUGUACAGAGAAUAUAAAUACCAGGCAAUCAUCAAGUGGAUAAAUUAAAUGGCCAAAGAGAAAGAAUAGUUUAAUGCCUCCGAACAUGUCUCUUUCAUCCGAAAACAGGCUUUUCAUUGAGCCGAAGUUCAGUUCGGAGCCCUAGUACUAGCCCGAUGGCCCCAGCCAUAACUCAAGCUCCAAAUGAUAAAAAAUGUGCAACUUAUGUACGAAGUAUUUAGAAAUUAAUUCCAGAAGGCAUACAAUUGUCAUUGCAAGAGAACCAACAGCAGCCUAAGCUUGCUAGAAAUUAAAUCUAAUGCAAGAAUUACCGAAAUUCAGAAGACCCACAUUACCUUGCAUCUACAAAGUACAGAAUGGUUUGCAUCCCACAAAUAGACAUAUUAUCCAAAAUACAAGAGUUUAAACUAAAUGGAUCAGUACUACCACAUAAACAUAAUCACAUUGCUCUGUUUACAGGCUCUAGUGCUUCAACAGUGACAACACUAUUUCCUCUGAUUACCACCAUGCCUAUGUCAGUUCUCUCAUCACCAUUCACCUCCACAGUGUUGUCAACCACCAAAUUCAUGAAUUGAUCAAAUCCACGAAGUGUUCCAACUACCAUCCUAUUUGCAUUCAGCUUGAUUUGAAGUUUCUUGUCCAUGUACUUCUUGAGAUCUGGUGGCUGGCCUGAUCUGCUCAUGUUGAGCGGCUUCGAUCGAGUGUGCUUUGCGACUUGCGAAGAAGCCGAGAGAGGGAGAGGGAGAGGGAAAGCGAGAAUGACAGGGAGAUGCAC